This is a long non-coding RNA of Haliotis rubra (blacklip abalone), 108 nucleotides long. RefSeq lists it as uncharacterized. NCBI's taxonomy places the organism in Eukaryota, Metazoa, Mollusca, Gastropoda, Lepetellida, Haliotidae. The record is from RefSeq and is a predicted model, not a curated record. The transcript has 2 exons.
UGUUACUCAAAGUAGAGGCAAUCAAAACCACGAAACUGUUUUGCUGUUGACGUCAUGGACAGCACAUAUUAUGACAUCCUUGUUUAAUAAAAUAAACCAAAUACUGAA